UAUCUUUUGAUUGAACCGUUCGAUUGCCAAGCUGUAAAGUGUGUUGGAAAGCUGAUACUUACAUCUUUAAGAUCUCCAAAUUUGAGUUGGAUCAGACGUUGAGAAGGUCUUCAAUCGGGGGUGAACUUCUGACAGUUUGACUAUGAGCUGAAAUCUGGUUUUCUAUCCAUUUUGUUAAGCUUUUCCCUAAGUUACCUGAAAGAGUCUUGGAACUACAAAUACUAGAAAAACGUAAUAAAAGUACUUAAAAGCAAUUAAAAACAUAGAAAAAGUAUUUCAAAACGAUCCAUAAAAGUGGUCAAAAUACGGUGUUAUAAGUCCCUCAUACACAAGUUUGGUUUGAUAACCCCUUGUACUACAAGACAGGGGAUCG
This 373-nucleotide long non-coding RNA is filed under the name Eutrema salsugineum. RNAcentral's name for it is "long non-coding RNA (ESAL_LNC000957)". The record is from RNAcentral. Lineage: Eukaryota; Viridiplantae; Streptophyta; Magnoliopsida; Brassicales; Brassicaceae.